RNAcentral lists this ribosomal RNA (709 nucleotides) under uncultured crenarchaeote. RNAcentral describes it as "bacterial SSU rRNA". It matches the Rfam family "Archaeal small subunit ribosomal RNA", at positions 108 to 820 of the family's 1478-position model. The record is from RNAcentral. Lineage: Archaea; Thermoproteati; Thermoproteota.
CCUACCCUAGGGACGGGGAUAACCUCGGGAAACUGAGGCUAAACCCCGAUAGGCUAUAGCCUCUGGAAUGAGCUAUAGCUGAAAUCUAUAUGGCCCUAGGAUGGGACUGCGGCCGAUCAGGUAGUUGGUGGGGUAAUGGCCCACCAAGCCUAUAACCGGUGCGGGCUCUGAGAGGAGGAGCCCGGAGAUGGGCACUGAGACAAGGGCCCAGGUCCUAUGGGGCGCAGCAGGCGCGAAACCUCCGCAAUGGGCGAAAGCCCGACGGGGUUAGUCCGAGUGGUCCCUGCUGAAGGGGCCUUUUGCCAGCUGUAAAAAGGCUGGAGAAUAAGGGGUGGGCAAGUUUGGUGUCAGCCGCCGCGGUAAUACCAGCACCCCGAGUGGUCGGGACGAUUAUUGGGCCUAAAGCAUCCGUAGCCGGCUUAGCAAGUCUUCCGUUAAAUCCAACGGCUUAACCGUUGGGCUGCGGAGGAUACUGCUAAGCUAGGGGGCGGGAGAGGCGAGGGGUAUUCCCAGGGUAGGGGUAAAAUCCGUUGAUCCUGGGAGGACCACCAGUGGCGAAGGCGCCUCGCUAGAACGCGCCCGACGGUGAGGGAUGAAAGCUGGGGGAGCGAACCGGAUUAGAUACCCGGGUAGUCCCAGCCGUAAACGAUGUAGGCUCGAUGUUGGGUUACCCAAGUGGUAGCCCAGUGUCGCAGGGAAGCCGUUAAGC